Camelus ferus (Wild Bactrian camel) is the source of this 73-nucleotide transfer RNA. It matches the Rfam family "tRNA". Rfam says of the family: Transfer RNA (tRNA) molecules are approximately 80 nucleotides in length. Their secondary structure includes four short double-helical elements and three loops (D, anti-codon, and T loops). The record is from Rfam. NCBI's taxonomy places the organism in Eukaryota, Metazoa, Chordata, Mammalia, Artiodactyla, Camelidae.
GAGGGUAACAGCUCAGUGGUAGAGCGCGUGCUUAGCAUGCACGAGGUCCUGGGUUCUGUCCCCAGUACCUCCA